GAUGAAGAACGUAGUGAAAUGCGAUAAGUAAUGUGAAUUGCAGAAUUCAGUGAAUCAUCGAAUCUUUGAACGCACCUUGCGCCCUUUGGCCAUUCCGAAGGGCAUGCCUGUUUGAGUAUCAUGAACACCUCAACUCUUCAUGGUUUUCCAUGAUGAGCUUGGACUUUGGGGGUCUUGCUGGCCUGUGGGUCGGCUCCUCUCAAAUGAAUCAGCUUGCCGGUUUUUGGUGGGCAUCACAGGUGUGAUAACUAUCUACGCUUGUGGUUUUCCACCAGGGUAACCUUCAGCAGUGGAGGUUCACUGGAGCUUACAAAUGUCUCUCCUCUGUGAGGACAGCCCUUUGAAUGUUUGAUCUCAAAUCAGGUAGGACUACCCGCUGAACUUAAGCAUAUCAAUAAGCGAGGA
This 405-nucleotide unclassified non-coding RNA is filed under the name soil metagenome. Its description in RNAcentral is "partial contains 5.8S ribosomal RNA, internal transcribed spacer 2, and large subunit ribosomal RNA". The stretch from base 1 to 121 matches the Rfam family "5.8S ribosomal RNA", at positions 35 to 154 of the family's 154-position model. The record is from RNAcentral.